GAGUGUUCUCUGCGUUAAAUCUCCUGUAAAGUAAAAAUAAAGUAGUCUGUAUGCCUGUGUAACAGGUGGAGGAUGAUUUCUUAUUUUCUUAAAUUAUUGUGGUGUGGUUAUGGAGUGAUAUUUAGAACCAGAAAUCAGUUGUUAGAAUGGAGUGGGUCUGAUGCACGUAGACUCAAUCACAUCAAUUCAUCGUCAGAGAUAAUACGUCUUUUAAAAGAAUGUCACUCUGCAGGUUUCUAAACGGUGUUAUAACAUACAGUAUGAAUGACAUAUUACAGGGGUGGCUGCACCUUUGGAAAACAUCAUCAAUGUCUGAUGUCACCUUACAUUCUCUGCAUGGAUAUAAAAGCUGCUUCAUGCUCAGUGGAGAACAUUGACCAGCAAACAGAGAACCCUGAACAGGUGAACAGGAGAGCAUAACUACUCCACGGCAGGAAAGAGAAGUCAAGCUCAAACCAUCUCUAUCUCUUUUUACAACAGGCAACAACUUUCCAUUGACGAUGAAGAUCUGUAUUGUCCUACUUCUGUGUGUUGCGUUAGGAAAUGCAGAAACAACAACAGUUGCAAAUGCAGAGACACGAACUACGGCUGCCCCAGCGACAACUACAGCAGCUCUAACAACUACAGCUGUACCCGCAACAACCACAGUACCAGCUGCAACAACUACAGAUGCCCCUGCAACAACUACAGUAGCAACCACAACAACUACAGUCGCAGCUGCAACAACAACAGUACCAGCCGCAACAACUACAGCCAACCCAACAACAACUACAGUACCAGCUCCAGCAACUACAGUAGCAGCGGCAACAACUACAGUACCAGCUGCAACAACUACAGCUGCACCCGCAACAACUACAGUCACAGCCGUUACAACUACAGUAGCAGCGGAAACAACCAAAGCCAACCCAACAACAGCAGCAGCAACCACCACAAAUACCCCAGCCACAACUACUGCAGCUCUAACAACUACAGCUGCACCUGCAACAACAACAGUACCAGCUGCAACAACUACAGUACCAGCUGCAACAACCACGGUAGCAGCCGCAACAACUACAGCCAACCCAACAACAACUACAGUACCAGCUGCAACAACUACAGUAGCAGCGGCAACAACUACAGUAGCAGCUGCAACAACUACAGCUGCACCCGCAACAACUACAGUAGCAACCACUACAACUACAGACGCAGCCGGAACAACUACAGUAGCAGCGAAAACAACCAAAGCCAACAACAACAGCAGCAGCA
Molecule: long non-coding RNA, 1245 nt
Organism: Gasterosteus aculeatus aculeatus (three-spined stickleback)
Lineage: Eukaryota; Metazoa; Chordata; Actinopteri; Perciformes; Gasterosteidae
Source: Ensembl